RNAcentral lists this antisense RNA (75 nucleotides) under Micromonospora sp. CNZ309. Its description in RNAcentral is "ASpks TB sRNA". It matches the Rfam family "ASpks TB sRNA". Lineage: Bacteria; Bacillati; Actinomycetota; Actinomycetes; Micromonosporales; Micromonosporaceae. The record is from RNAcentral.
CUUCAGCGAGCCCAGCCGCAGCGGUUCGGCGUCGCCGCGUCCCACCCCGUACGUGGCGAGCAGCGCCUGGGCCUC